GACGAACGCUGGCGGCGUGCCUAAUACAUGCCAGUCGAACGCUGAAGGAGGAGCUUGCUUCUCUGGAUGAGUUGCGAACGGGUGAGUAACGCGUAGGUAACCUGCCUGGUAGCGGGGGAUAACUAUUGGAAACGAUAGCUAAUACCGCAUAAUAUUGACUAUUGCAUGAUAGUCAGUUGAAAGGUGCAACUGCACCACUACCAGAUGGACCUGCGUUGUAUUAGCUAGUUGGUGGGGUAACGGCUCACCAAGGCGACGAUACAUAGCCGACCUGAGAGGGUGAUCGGCCACACUGGGACUGAGACACGGCCCAGACUCCUACGGGAGGCAGCAGUAGGGAAUCUUCGGCAAUGGACGGAAGUCUGACCGAGCAACGCCGCGUGAGUGAAGAAGGGUUUCGGAUCGUAAAGCUCUGUUGUAAGAGAAGAACGAGUGUGAGAGUGGAAAGCUCACACUGUGACGGUAGCUUACCAGAAAGGGACGGCUAACUACGUG
This 495-nucleotide ribosomal RNA is filed under the name uncultured bacterium. RNAcentral describes it as "partial 16S ribosomal RNA". It matches the Rfam family "Bacterial small subunit ribosomal RNA", at positions 28 to 507 of the family's 1533-position model. The record is from RNAcentral.